CCAAUCCCCGACUGUGGGACCUAAAAUGAACUCAACAGGCUGGAAAUAGAACAGCUGGGUAAACCCAAAACACUGUUUGGGUGUCUGCUGAGCAAGCACGUGAAUGAACAGAACUGGGGGAGCAAUUCGAGGAAGAAAUAGAUCAUUUCAUCUCAGAGCCCCUGACAACCACUGUUCUGCUGUCUGUCUCUAUGAACCUGACUACUGUACGGACCUCACAGAAGUGGAAUCGUGCAGUGUUCGUCCUUUGGUAAUUGGCUUAGCAUCACGUCUGGUGUGCAUGUCACGUGUUUUUUUAUCCAGUCAUGCGUUAGUGAAUAUUUGGGUUGUUUCUAUGUUUUGCCUGUUGUGAAUAAUGGGUCUACAGAUAUUUCCUUGAGAUCGACUUUCAGUUCUUCUGGGUAUAUACCUAGAAGUGGAAUUGCUGGAUCGUAGGGUAGUACUUGUUUAAUUUGCUGAGGUAAAAGCAACAUUUGUGAGCACCUAUGUGGUAUCAGCUCUGUGCUAGGCCCUUUCCACAUGACAUCUCACUUAAUCCAUAUCACAACCCUGUGGGAAGAAGAUUAUUGUCCCCAGUUUAUAAAAAGUGAAGAUUCCAGAAACUAAAUGACUUGUUCAAGGUGACAGAUAGUGACUGUGAGUCAAGUUUUGAACCCAGGUCGGCUUGAUUCCAAGGUCAUGCUCUUCCCAGGCAGCAGGCAAUGAAAACAAAUAUGGUAUUCAAGAGGUGGGGCCACAGUUUAAAGCUUUUGGCAGCUAAUGCUUUCUUUAAUUAACAAUUAACAUCUUAGGGGCACCUGGGUGGUUAAGCGUCUGCCUUCAGCUCAGGUCACGAUCCCAGAGUCCUGGGAUCCUUAGUUCUCCCCGGGGUUCCCUGCUCCGUGGAGAGUCUGCUUCUCCCUCUGCCCCUACCCCUGCUUGUGCUCUCGCUCUCCCACUGUCUCUCAAAUAAAUAAAUAAAAUCUUUAAAAAAAUAAAUAAAUAAAACAAAAACCAAUUAACAUCCUAGCAGGAAUCACAGAAGGAUGGGUCAUCACUUCCCCUUUCCCCAGGUCAAAUGAAACACUGUCUUCCAGACGGUUCUCAGACAAAGCUCCUCUUUAUCCUGGUCUCCUAUCACUCCUCCUCCCACAUCCCCAGGCCUCCCUUAUUUACUGGCUAAAGCCCACACGCCCCAGCUCCAGCCUUAUGUCCACCAGAAAUCUUCCCAGCUACAACCCCAGAAUGGGUCCCUCCCACUAGUUUCCCUGGACUCCCUUCUGUCAACUAGGCUCCCUGCCCUCUGUGUUACCCAUUUAUGUAUGAACCCCCCUCCCGGCCACAUGCUCUCCGGGGCACAGUUAACACUGUCCCUUCGUAUCACCUGAACCUCCCAGUGCCCGGCACUCGGGGAACAGUUUGAAUCAAUGAAUCAAUGAGUGACUCACUCAAUCAAUGACAGUAGGGAAGACAGGCACGAAGGAGAGAAAACCAGAAUUAUCCUCUUUUACUUCACUAUUCGUGUAAGACCAGGCUGGGAGUUGCUCAGAAUAAUUUGUGUGCCGUAUUUGGCACCACUGCGCAAGUCUGAGCCAUUUUGGGGUUGGAAACUCCCAGGGAAAGAGAUGGAAUUAUCCUCUCAGAGAAAUAUGCCCGCGUGGCUGGCCCGAGGAAGGGGAGGAGGAG
Molecule: long non-coding RNA, 1665 nt
Filed under: Mustela putorius furo (domestic ferret)
Lineage: Eukaryota; Metazoa; Chordata; Mammalia; Carnivora; Mustelidae
Description: lncRNA (ENSMPUG00000026142.1)
Source: RNAcentral